Long non-coding RNA from Mytilus californianus (California mussel), 387 nucleotides. RefSeq lists it as uncharacterized. The transcript has 2 exons. The record is from RefSeq and is a predicted model, not a curated record. Lineage: Eukaryota; Metazoa; Mollusca; Bivalvia; Mytilida; Mytilidae.
GUAAACUCACAAAAAUACUGAACUCCGAGGAAAAUUUAAAACGGAAAGUCCCUAAUCAAAUGGCAAAAUCAAAAGCUCAAACACAUCAAACGAAUGGAUAACAACUGUCAUAUUCCUGACUUGGUACAGGCAUUUUUUUUAUGUAGAAAAUGGUGGAUUUAACCUGGUUUUAUAGCUAGCUAAACCUCUCGCUUGUAUGACAGUCGCAUCAAAUUCCAUUAUAUUGACAACGAUGCGUGAACAAAACAGACACAAUAGGUAAAAAUGUCAAAAAUAGGGGUACAGCAGUCAACAUUGCGUUAUCAUCUUAAUCACUAUAAAAACAAUGCAACGAAGAAGCACAAAAAGGCAUACAUCAAAUUUAACAUCCUCAUUUUGCUUUUUAAU